UGCUUAUGAUGAAUAAAAAAAGAAAUAAGAGUAGUGGACAGGAGUGAUUUCUGAGAAUUUUUACACUGAGGCA
Molecule: small nucleolar RNA, 73 nt
Filed under: Sinocyclocheilus grahami
Lineage: Eukaryota; Metazoa; Chordata; Actinopteri; Cypriniformes; Cyprinidae
Description: Small nucleolar RNA SNORD75 (ENSSGRG00000009714.1)
Rfam family: Small nucleolar RNA SNORD75
About the family: U75 (SNORD75) belongs to the C/D class of snoRNAs which contain the C (UGAUGA) and D (CUGA) box motifs. Most of the members of the box C/D family function in directing site-specific 2'-O-methylation of substrate RNAs.
Source: Rfam by way of RNAcentral